Molecule: long non-coding RNA, 1787 nt
Filed under: Haliotis rufescens (red abalone)
Lineage: Eukaryota; Metazoa; Mollusca; Gastropoda; Lepetellida; Haliotidae
Description: uncharacterized LOC125372565
Source: RNAcentral
UUUACUUGUUCGUUUCCCACAAGAUCGUGCUUUUCUCCAGAUAACGCAUGGAAUUUAUAAACUAAGUGUCCAUUGGUUGCAGCGACCAUGUGAUGCUGUGAAAAAGUUCAGAGGAUAGGUGUAUAUAGCUUCACACUGUGUUAAGUCAUUCUUCUUAUCUAAGACGGUAAGUGGAACUGAUAGACGUUUAAUCGUGUAAGAGGUGUGAGUGUUAUACCGUGGUGGUUAUGACAUAUGGGGGAGACUUAGAUUUCAUUGAAAUUCUACAGUUAAACUGAAAUCAGCUUCCUAAGGUACCCAAGUAUCUCGAGUAUCGAGCAUCUUCACACUUAUAUGGGGUCGCGGAUCCAUUUGUGUUUCGGUACAUACGGGUACGUGCACUGACAAUGUGCCACGGUCUGUAUAUUAUCAUUACCGGUGAAGAUAGCGAAGGGUGGCCCUGUCAUCCGAGGCGUUGAACGUGGUUUGGUUGGGUUGUUGUUUGCGCCGCAGUCAGCAAUACUCCAGCAAUAUGGUGAACUGUGCUUGAACGUCGCCUUUAAGAUUCCUCGCUCAUGUAUAUGUCUCACUGUUUCUGUAGUGUGUUUGUCUCCCAUUUAGUACAAGCCACGCCGUAGUGGAACACACCACGUUCCACUGCAGCUUGGCUUGUACCAGUUGAGAAAAAAGUCACCACGUUCCACUACAGCGUGGCUUCUACUAGCUGGGAGACAACGCUGUAGUGGAACGUGGUGUGUUUGUCUCCCAGCUGGUACAAGCCAUGCUGUAGUGGAACGUGGUGUGUGUGUGUGUGUGUGUGUGUGUGUGUGUGUGUGUGUGUGUGUGUGUGUGUGUGUGUGUGUGUGUGUGUGUGUGUGUGUGUGUGUGUGUGUGUGUGUGUGUGUGUGUGUGUGUGUGUGUGUGUGUGUGUGUGUGUGUGUGUGUGUGUGUGUGUGUGUGUGUGUGUCCCAGCUAGUACAAGCCAUGCUGUAGUGGCACGUGGUGUGUUUGUUUCCCAGCUAGUACAAGCCAUGCUGUAGUGGAACGUGGUUUGUGUGUGUGUGUGUGUGUCUCCCAGCUAGUACAAGCCACGCAGUAGUGGAACGUGGUGGGUUUGUUUCUCAGCUAGUACAAGCCAUGCUGUAGUGGAACGUGGUGUGUUUGUCUCCCAGCUAGUACAAGCCACGCUGUAGUGGAACGUGGUGUGUUUGUCUCCCAGCUAGUACAAGCCACGCAGUAGUGGAACGUGGUGUGUUUGUCUCCAAGCUAGUACAAGCCACGCAGUAGUGGAACGUGGUGUGUGUGUUUGUGUGUCUCCCAGCUAGUACAAGCCAUGCUGUAGUGGAACGUGGUGUGUUUCUUUCUCAGCUAGUACAAGCCAUGCUGUAGUGGAACGUGGUGUGUGUGUGUGUGUGUGUGUGUGUGUGUGUCUCCCAGCUAGUACAAGCCAUGCUGUAGUGGAACGUGGUGUGUUUGUCUCCCAGCUAGUACAAGCCACGCAGUAGUGGAACGUGGUGUGUUUGUCUCCAAGCUAGUACAAGCCACGCAGUAGUGGAACGUGGUGUGUGUGUUUGUGUGUCUCCAAGCUAGUACAAGCCAUGCUGUAGUGGAACGUGGUGUGUUUGUUUCUCAGCUAGUACAAGCCAUGCUGUAGUGGAACGUGGUGUGUGUGUGUGUGUGUGUGUGUGUGUGUCUCCCAGCUAGUACAAGCCAUGCUGUAGUGGAACGUGGUGUGUUUGUCUCCCAGCUAGUACAAGCCAUGCUGUAGUGGAACGUGGUUUGUGUGUGUGUGUGUGUCUCCCAGCUAG